CACGUGCAGUCGCCUGCCUACACGAAACUAACCCCGGUGCUAAAGACGUAGCCGGCUACACAUAUGGAGGCUGCCACUCUCCCCUCCGCCUCGGCGCAGACCUGGCUGUCCAUCUCCGGGAUUUUGAGCCAAUCAACCAGGCGUUCCACACAUCCCUAAUGAGCUCACGGGGGAUGUGACUCGAACAUGGCGACGUGCGCCCACAGUCCCCCCCCCACACACA
Molecule: long non-coding RNA, 223 nt
Organism: Acanthopagrus latus (yellowfin seabream)
Lineage: Eukaryota; Metazoa; Chordata; Actinopteri; Spariformes; Sparidae
Exons: 2
Source: RefSeq, a predicted model, not a curated record